RNAcentral lists this ribosomal RNA (813 nucleotides) under uncultured bacterium. Its description in RNAcentral is "bacterial SSU rRNA". It matches the Rfam family "Bacterial small subunit ribosomal RNA", at positions 8 to 805 of the family's 1533-position model. The record is from RNAcentral.
AGAGUUUUAUCCUGGCUCAGGAUGAACGCUAGCUACAGGCUUAACACAUGCAAGUCGAGGGGCAGCAUAUAGAUAGCUUGCUAUUUAUGAUGGCGACCGGCGCACGGGUGAGUAACGCGUAUCCAACCUUCCCCAUAGUAGGGUAUAGCCCGGCGAAAGUCGGAUUAAUCCCCUAUGUUGUUUGAAGCGGACAUCUAAUUCAAACCAAAGAUUCAUCGCUAUGGGAUGGGGAUGCGUCUGAUUAGGUUGCAGGCGGGGUAACGGCCCACCUGGCCGACGAUCAGUAGGGGUUCUGAGAGGAAGGUCCCCCACACUGGUACUGAGACACGGACCAGACUCCUACGGGAGGCAGCAGUGAGGAAUAUUCGUCAAUGGGGGAAACCCUGAACGAGCAAUGCCGCGUGAAUGAUGACGGUCCUCUGGAUUGUAAAAUUCUGUUGUUGAGGAAGAACGUCUUGUAUAGGAAAUGAUACAGGAGUGACGGUACUCUUCAAGAAAGCUCCGGCUAACUACGUGCCAGCAGCCGCGGUAAUACGUAGGGAGCGAGCGUUAUCCGAAUUUAUUGGGUGUAAAGCGUGUGUAGGCGGUUUAAUAAGUCUAAGGUUUAAGUCCGAAGCUUAACUUCGGUUCGCCUUGGAAACUGUUUUACUUGAAUGCGGUAGAGGCAAGUGGAAUUUCUAGUGUAGCGGUAAAAUGCUUAGAUAUUAGAAGGAACACCAGUGGCGAAGGCGACUUGCUGGGCCGUGAUUGACGCUGAGACACGAAAGCGUGGGGAGCAAAUAGGAUUAGAUACCCUAGUAGUCCACGCCGUAA